GUGUUGCUGUUGAGCAGAAAUUGGAAGGAAACUGUGAGGGUCAAUAGAUUGAGAAAAUGGUCCUGCCCAUCAUCAUAGGAAACCAUGAACCUCUCCACUCUGGGACAGGAGUGACCUGCAGUGACCAGCUCUGCUGCCUUAGGAGCAUUAGCUGUACUCCUCAAAUAAGUUUCCCUGAUGACAUGCAAAUCAGAAUCUGUUAACCAUUGGCUGUUCCAGAUAUGAUGUCAAAGCCAACAAGGGAGACUUGUAGUAUGACUCAAAAGCAGAAGUAUUUUGAAACAGAAAGAAUGACUUACUGGGGAGCCAGGUUAAAAACUAAAGAAGUGAAGAUUGGUCAUCUCUGCAGAGGAAAUUACAAGGUCUUUCUCAGAAGAAACAGCUGUAGAAUGUGGAUGAAUGAAUCAGUUGUGUGGAAUUCCUGUUGGCAAGACCUUAGACCCUCGACUGCUGCUAGAUCCAGCUGAGGGAUCAAAGAGAGAACUUUUGCAGGUAUUUCAUGUCUUCACCUGUACUAUUCUCACCUUAAUGAGUAGCAAAUUAUUCUG
Molecule: long non-coding RNA, 548 nt
Filed under: Junco hyemalis (dark-eyed junco)
Lineage: Eukaryota; Metazoa; Chordata; Aves; Passeriformes; Passerellidae
Description: lncRNA (ENSJHYG00000008733.1)
Source: RNAcentral